Molecule: unclassified non-coding RNA, 328 nt
Filed under: soil metagenome
Description: partial contains 5.8S ribosomal RNA, internal transcribed spacer 2, and large subunit ribosomal RNA
Rfam family: 5.8S ribosomal RNA (bases 1-120)
Source: RNAcentral
GAUGAAGAACGCAGCGAAAUGCGAUAAGUAAUGUGAAUUGCAGAAUUCAGUGAAUCAUCGAAUCUUUGAACGCACAUUGCGCCCCUUGGUAUUCCGAGGGGCAUGCCUGUUCGAGCGUCAUUAUAACCCCUCAAGCUCAGCUUGGUGUUGGGGCCUGCUGCACUGGCAGCCCUUAAAAUCAGUGGCGGCGCCAUCUGGCUCUAAGCGUAGUAAUUCUUCUCGCUGUUGAGCUCCGGUGGUCGCCCGCCAGCAACCCCCAACUUUUACAGUUUGACCUGGGAUGAGGUAGGGAUACCCGCUGAACUUAAGCAUAUCAAUAAGCGGAGGA